GAUGAACGCUGGCGGCGUGCCUAAUACAUGCAAGUCGAGCGAACGGACGAGAAGCUUGCUUCUCUGAUGUUAGCGGCGGACGGGUGAGUAACACGUGGAUAACCUACCUAUAAGACUGGGAUAACUUCGGGAAACCGGAGCUAAUACCGGAUAAUAUUUUGAACCGCAUGGUUCAAAAGUGAAAGACGGUCUUGCUGUCACUUAUAGAUGGAUCCGCGCUGCAUUAGCUAGUUGGUAAGGUAACGGCUUACCAAGGCAACGAUGCAUAGCCGACCUGAGAGGGUGAUCGGCCACACUGGAACUGAGACACGGUCCAGACUCCUACGGGAGGCAGCAGUAGGGAAUCUUCCGCAAUGGGCGAAAGCCUGACGGAGCAACGCCGCGUGAGUGAUGAAGGUCUUCGGAUCGUAAAACUCUGUUAUUAGGGAAGAACAUAUGUGUAAGUAACUGUGCACAUCUUGACGGUACCUAAUCAGAAAGCCACGGCUAACUACGUGCCAGCAGCCGCGGUAAUACGUAGGUGGCAAGCGUUAUCCGGAAUUAUUGGGCGUAAAGCGCGCGUAGGCGGUUUUUUAAGUCUGAUGUGAAAGCCCACGGCUCAACCGUGGAGGGUCAUUGGAAACUGGAAAACUUGAGUGCAGAAGAGGAAAGUGGAAUUCCAUGUGUAGCGGUGAAAUGCGCAGAGAUAUGGAGGAACACCAGUGGCGAAGGCGACUUUCUGGUCUGUAACUGACGCUGAUGUGCGAAAGCGUGGGGAUCAAACAGGAUUAGAUACCCUGGUAGUCCACGCCGUAAACGAUGAGUGCUAAGUGUUAGGGGGUUUCCGCCCCUUAGUGCUGCAGCUAACGCAUUAAGCACUCCGCCUGGGGAGUACGACCGCAAGGUUGAAACUCAAAGGAAUUGACGGGGACCCGCACAAGCGGUGGAGCAUGUGGUUUAAUUCGAAGCAACGCGAAGAACCUUACCAAAUCUUGACAUCCUUUGACAACUCUAGAGAUAGAGCCUUCCCCUUCGGGGGGCAAAGUGACAGGUGGUGCAUGGUUGUCGUCAGCUCGUGUCGUGAGAUGUUGGGUUAAGUCCCGCAACGAGCGCAACCCUUAAGCUUAGUUGCCAUCAUUAAGUUGGGCACUCUAAGUUGACUGCCGGUGACAAACCGGAGGAAGGUGGGGAUGACGUCAAAUCAUCAUGCCCCUUAUGAUUUGGGCUACACACGUGCUACAAUGGACAAUACAAAGGGCAGCGAAACCGCGAGGUCAAGCAAAUCCCAUAAAGUUGUUCUCAGUUCGGAUUGUAGUCUGCAACUCGACUACAUGAAGCUGGAAUCGCUAGUAAUCGUAGAUCAGCAUGUUACGGUGAAUACGUUCCCGGGUCU
Molecule: ribosomal RNA, 1372 nt
Filed under: uncultured bacterium
Lineage: Bacteria
Description: bacterial SSU rRNA
Rfam family: Bacterial small subunit ribosomal RNA
Source: RNAcentral